This 65-nucleotide transfer RNA is filed under the name bovine gut metagenome. It matches the Rfam family "tRNA", at positions 5 to 66 of the family's 71-position model. Rfam says of the family: Transfer RNA (tRNA) molecules are approximately 80 nucleotides in length. Their secondary structure includes four short double-helical elements and three loops (D, anti-codon, and T loops). The record is from RNAcentral.
GUGUAGCUCAGUCGGUAGAGCGACGCACUCGUAAUGCGUAGGUCGCCGGUUCGAGUCCGGCCUCC